AAUUAGAAAGUGAAUUAUCACGUUUAGUUUCGACCUAAAUUUUAGGCUUUAUAGCCUUCUAAUUU
Molecule: transfer RNA, 65 nt
Filed under: Parasesarma pictum
Lineage: Eukaryota; Metazoa; Arthropoda; Malacostraca; Decapoda; Sesarmidae
Description: tRNA-Arg
Source: RNAcentral